GACGAACGCUGGCGGCGUGCUUAACACAUGCAAGUCGAACGGAAAGGCCCUGCUUUUGUGGGGUGCUCGAGUGGCGAACGGGUGAGUAACACGUGAGUAACCUGCCCUGGACUUUGGGAUAACUUCAGGAAACUGGGGCGAAUACCGGAUAGGAGCUCCUGCUGCAUGGUGGGGGUUGGAAAGGUUCGGCGGUUGGGGAUGGACGCGCGGCUUAUCAGCUUGUUGGUGGGGUGGUGGCUUACCAGGGCUUUGACGGGUAGCCGGCCUGAGAGGGUGACCGGCAAGAUUGGGACUGAUAUACGGCCCAGACUCCUACGGGAGGGAGCAGUGGGGAAUAUUGCAAAAUGGGCGGAAGCCUGAUGCAGCAACGCCGCGUGCGGGAUGACGGCCUUCGGGUUGUAAACCGCGUUCGCCUGGGACGAAGCGUGAGUGACGGUAAUGGGUAAAGAAGCACCGGCUAACUACGUG
Molecule: ribosomal RNA, 468 nt
Filed under: uncultured bacterium
Lineage: Bacteria
Description: partial 16S ribosomal RNA
Rfam family: Bacterial small subunit ribosomal RNA
Source: RNAcentral